Molecule: ribosomal RNA, 245 nt
Filed under: Planctomycetota bacterium
Lineage: Bacteria; Pseudomonadati; Planctomycetota
Description: Planctomycetes bacterium partial 16S ribosomal RNA
Rfam family: Bacterial small subunit ribosomal RNA
Source: RNAcentral
CAAAUUGAAGGGUUUGAUUCUGGCUCAGAAUGAACGUUGGCGGCGUGGAUUAGGCAUGCAAGUCGAGCGAGAACCGUAGCAAUACGGGGACAGCGGCGAAAGGGACAGUAAUAUGUAGGUACCUACCCUGAGGUUCGGGAUAGCUGCGGGAAACUGCAGGUAAUACCGAAUAAUGUCUCCGGACCAAAGGUGUGAUUCCACCUUAGGAGGGGCCUGCAUCCUAUUAGCUAGUUGGUGAGGUAAAG